Molecule: ribosomal RNA, 115 nt
Filed under: Lepisosteus oculatus (spotted gar)
Lineage: Eukaryota; Metazoa; Chordata; Actinopteri; Semionotiformes; Lepisosteidae
Source: RNAcentral
GCCAGCAGCCAUAUCACACUGCAAACAGCUGGUAGCCCACUGAAGCUCAGCAGGUGUGAGCCUGGCCAGUACCUGGAUGGGAGACCUCCUGGGAAAGCAAAGGCUGCUGCUGGAA